AAACGGUUAGUUUGUGGGUUAUAUUGUGUGGUUGUUGUAUUUCAGUGGAUACUAAUGAAUACUAGCGUUUUCGCUGGGGCAUGUUGUGCUUUUCAGCCGUUCAUCCAGGCGGGCGCGUGCAUGCGGGCACACCAUAUAUAGUAUAUGCUUCAUUCAGUGAUACACUAAAUUGUGUGAUUAAAUUUGUUUAGUCCUCUACCUACAGUAAGUUAAUAAAAACGAAUGAAUUAAACUAAGAAAUUGGACGAAAUAUAUCAGAUAAACUCACCAUUGACGUUUUCCUGUUUGCUCUCUACUUUAGUACAUGUUACUUUGAUUUUGUAGUAAUGUUUUUUAUCCAUCUCUUUGUGUUUAAGACAAAUUACAUAACAGGACACAGACAGACCGCAGCAUUGAAGGGCCUUCCUUUAUUUCUCCGUGAGGGUCACGAGAAGCUGUUCAGGAAUUGUCUGGAUACUGACCCAGAAGAGGAGAAGACAAGGGGUCUCAUAGUGGGGAUACUUUCUGUGAUGGAGGAUCAAAGUUCCGCUCCUGCAAGACUUCAAAAUGUAGCUGUGGUUUUAGAAGAACAUAUCGUCUUACAUGACCUCCCUGACCUGCCAACGGCCCUUGCGUUGCUCUUUGGGCCGAUAUACGCUCUGAACAUCCAGUUUCCCAAGGAACUGCGAUACACCUUUGAAAUGUUUCAAAAUAUCUUUUUGGAGCUGGGGACAGAUCUCUCUGCAAGAGUCAGAUCCCUCAAAAACAAACUUCUGUAACCCUGUGUCAGAACCUAAUGUUGAGCUGCAAGUUCUGUUGAAAACAAACUUGUUGGGCCUGUUUUAAAUUGUUAAUGUUCAUGCUGCCCUUUUGUAUAUUUACUUAUUUUACUCAGUCCCCCAAAUAUCUCUUCUCUUCCUGUCUAUAGGAAUAAUGCUGUAUUAUGCAUUUUAAUACAGCACGUGCUGAUAUUUCAAUGUUUUAAGAAAGCAACUGUUUCACCUGAUCGGGUGAGCUAUUGGUCUUCUGUGCUUUUGCACAGCACUUAAGACAUGCAAGACAUGUUCAAUAAAAAAAGAUUUGAAUUGA
Molecule: long non-coding RNA, 1068 nt
Organism: Gadus macrocephalus (Pacific cod)
Lineage: Eukaryota; Metazoa; Chordata; Actinopteri; Gadiformes; Gadidae
Exons: 2
Source: RefSeq, a predicted model, not a curated record